UAGCCAAAAAGAUGAGGCCUUUGA
This 24-nucleotide non-coding RNA is filed under the name Mus musculus (house mouse). Lineage: Eukaryota; Metazoa; Chordata; Mammalia; Rodentia; Muridae. The record is from RNAcentral.